Molecule: long non-coding RNA, 7830 nt
Organism: Antechinus flavipes (yellow-footed antechinus)
Lineage: Eukaryota; Metazoa; Chordata; Mammalia; Dasyuromorphia; Dasyuridae
Exons: 4
Source: RefSeq, a predicted model, not a curated record
GACAAAAAGACUAGAACUGCAGGGGGGGGGGGGGGGAGGGAGGGGAGGAAGGAGUCACAAAUUUUACACAGAGCACCUCUAACAAUAUAAACAAGGAGUUAUAGUGGUAGCAAAAAGAGAUGAAUACUUUUAAAUCAAAGCUACUUUUCCAUUUCCUGUCCUAUUUCCAUCUCACAUUUUACCUGUUUGCUUAAACAGGUGAUUAAAAUGGAACUAGGCACCACCAGUCCUACAGCCCUAAAAAAAAAAUUAAUCAUCUGAGAGGGAAAGCAUGAGCUGGAGCCAGAAUAUCUGCCAGUCAUAUGCCAGGAGCCACACCCCAUAAAUGUGGACUUCUCAUGUGGACUAGUUUCUACCAUUACCAGACUCCAAUGUUUGCUGCAUCAAAAGACAAACAAAUAAACAAAAAGGCAGUAUUUUUUCUUAGAAUGUUAGUAAACUUGGCCUCUUUCACAUACAUACACAUAAAAAGGAGACAAAGUAUGUCAAAAACAUUUGCCAACUCUUAAAGCAAAAAUUCAGCAGUCCAAGAAAAAUUGUUUAAUACACCAAAUGUUUUAAAUUUCAAGCACAAAAGCAAAUUUUACUUACUAAGGUAAAAAGAAAAAGUGUGGUUUUCUCCCACUAAAGACAAAUAUGUCUUUCAACUUUAAUGGCAUGCCAUAAGAGCACAUUCUUAUAGUCAUCUAUUUUAAAAUAUCUUAUUUUUCCCCUAAACUUCAAUAUAUUGAAAUGUUUGUCUUUUCUUUACAAUCACAUUCAUCUUUCAAAGUUUUUUUUUUCCUUUUUAUUGAUCAUUAAUUAAAAUUUGUCUUUGCAAAUUGUUUAAAAAGCAACUUCAAAAGAUCAAAAUGAGGAUCUUCUACUCUUGGUUUAAUUCUUUUGGGAAGGUAAACUAGGCCAUCUUUUACCUCAAUUCUUAUCUACAAACUGAGGCCUGGGAAAGACCUUAGCUUAAAAAGACCAAGGUCCCCCAAUGCAUUCAUUUGCACAGCUCUCCCUCAUUUAAAUCCAAGUCACUUCCAAGUUAAGACAUCACCCUCCUGAUACUAAGGGUUUGCUUCAAGAAUGAAGGACAACAAAAGAAAACAUUCAAUUUAACAUAUCAUUUGUUAAGCAUUUCUUAUUUGUUAGAUAUGUGCUGGGUUCCAGAGAUGGAAAGGUGGAAAAUGACAAAUCCCUUGACUAUGACUUCAAUAGAUAAAAUGUGAUAAAGAUCCAACUAAGUGCUAUUAAAAAAUUUAAAGUUUUCAAAUGACUUUUAGAGCUAGAAGUGACAUUAUAAAGAUCUUCUAGUCCCAGUCUCUCAUUUUAUAGAUGAGGAACCUUAGAGAAGGUAAGGGAAUUGUCAAAAAUCACUGGGCUGGAGGAUAUCAAAGGUUUAUGAAAAGAGGUGGUGAUGGGACCAGCCUUAAAGAAAGCUAUUUCUAUGAGUAGAAUUGAACUUCAAGGAAUUGGAAAAGGACAAUAAGUAAGUUGGUGCAUUCAAGGUAAGAGUAGUCAAAUAUUUAGGUUAAAAAUUCACUGUUGGUGUUAUAUCUAUAUAAAUCUUCCCAAUAAAUUAACUUUGCAAAAAUGUGCAAGCAUAUUGGGGAAAAAAAUGAUCCUUUGGUAUGACUUCACCAAAACAAAAAAUACUCCACCUUGCUCAUUUGAUUAUAAAGCAUUAUCCAGAGAUUACACAAUUUAUCUAUCCUUAUCUUGACCCAAUUUUCCCAGAAAUCCAUUUAGAUAAAUACAUACAUGAAAACUUUUUUUUUUUUUUUUUUUUUUUUUUGCUGAGGCAAUUGGGAUUAAGUGAGUUGCCCAGGGUAACACAGAAAGGAUUAAGUGUCUAAGGUCACAUUUCAACUCCGGGUCUUCCUGAAUUCAGGGCUGGUGCUCCAUCCACUGUGCCACCUAGCUGCUCAUAGACUACUUUUUAAACACUUACAGAAGAAUAAGUAAAACAAAAAUAUUUAUACAUUCAUUGACACCCCUCUAAUUCAGGGAUUUAAACCCUGGUUUAAGAUGGAAAGGGGUCAGCAGCUUGAUAACAGAGGUACUAGACUUCCCUGAACACACCCUAUAACAGACACAAUGAAUGCCUCCCUCAACUCAUACUAACAUAUUCAGUCUAGUUAUGUCACUUAAUUUAAAAAAUUUCAGCAUUAAUAAAGAUCUCAAAACAAACAUAAUCUAACUUAAAAUGAACUCCAGGAAUAAAGAUCCCAAGACCUUCUGAAGUAGUCCAUCCUACUUUCUCCAUCAUUUUCCUAGAUUUCUCUCCUUGAUACUCUUUCUUUUUUUUGGAGCACCAUUUUCUCACCCUGUUCUCCUCCUUUCUACAUCUAACUAAUCUCUUUGCUAACUCCCUCUUUCAGAUCAUGCCCUCUAACAAUAGGUGUGUUUUAGGGUUCUAUCCUCAGCUCUCUUGUCGCUCUAUCCUACUUAGUGACCCCAUUAUUUCUCAAAGAUUUAAUUAUUUUAAUGCUGAUGAAUCCUCAAAUCUCCCAACUACUUUUCAAUUGGAUCUCCAGCAGACAACUUAAACAUGUCUAAGACUAAACUUUUUUUCCUCCUAAAACCUUCACUUACAACCUUCCCUAAUACUGUCGAGAAUACUAUCAUCCUUCCAGUUUCCUAGGCUUACAAUUUAGAUGUUGUCCCCAAUUCUUUACUCUUAUGUCUUAUAUCCAAUGUGUUGCCAAUAUCUGACGAUGCUUUUGCAACAUUUGUGGAAUAUAUCUCCUCCUUUCCCCUGACACUACCUCCACCCUGAUAAAGGCUCUUAUCAAUUCACACCUACACUAUUUAUCAUAGUCUGCUGUCGGCCUUAAUCAAGCCUUUCGUCAUUCCCAUCUCAAUCACCUACCAAAAUCAAAGUGGUUUUUCCGUAAAGCCCCAGUUUGAACAUGUCAUAUCCAUACUUGGCCACUAGGUGGUGCAGUGAACAGAUGCUGGGCCUUGAUUCCCCCAAAUCUAAAAAAAAAUCUAUCACUAGCUCCUCCCCACAAAAAAAGCAAAAAUUGGCAGACAGACAAAAAUAUGUAAUGUAUAUAUUAUUGAUAAAACCUUCAUGCCAUACCAAAGUACUAAGAAUCACUGGUUGGAAAACAAUGGUUUCACAGAAAUUGGUAGCCAGAAGAGACCUUGUAGCACAUUUAACAGAACAAGAAACUAAGGCCCAAGGAAAUUAAAAGACUUGCCUAUAAUCAAACUGUUAAGUAUCAGAGUCAAGAUUGGAAACUCCUUUUGAUGAUACUCAAUUUUACCAUCUGACUGCUAUACCCAUUUCCUUUUAUCUUCUGUCACCCCAACCCCAGAUUGGAUCAUAAUUCCCUUUGAAUUAAUCACCCUAACAAAAGCACCUUCUUUGUCAGCACUACAAAUAUUUGAUUCAUGUUUAGGAAUGUGUGCUUCAUAGACUUCAUACAUAUGAAAUAAUAUAUGUAAAAUACUGAGCAAACCUUAAUGCUACAUUAUAUCAGUGUCUAAAGGUGACCUCCACAUGGUUUACUAAAAUGAAUUGCUAAACAAAACAAAACAUAAAUGCUUUAAAUGACAAUUACUUUAAGAACAACUUUGUACUCUACUGAUGUACUCUAAUAAAAUUCUGACUUCCUGUAAAUGCAAACUAUAGUUUUCCAAGAAAACUGUACAAAAUCAGAGAAUAUGUAACUCCUGCUUAACUGUUACUUAAAAAAAAAAAAAAAAAACUUAAGAGCGUGUAAGAAUCUUAGAACACACAUCUUUUUGUAGAUGAAGACCCAAAGACCCAAAAUGGUGAAAUGAUUUUCUAAAGAUCACAUGGAAAUAAGGAGAAGCAAGGAUUGGAAGUCCACACCUUCUGACUAACUCCAGUACACAUUAUAAUACAAUUCUGUUCUUCCAUAAAAUCACAUACACGAUUAAAAGUUGGUCAAGUGCAUCCAUUUUAAAGAUGAAAAAUUUGAGAUCUAGAAAGCAUAUAUGUAACUUCUCCCAAAGAAGCAACUAAGCUAGUUCCAAGCCAGAUCUUCUACACUUCUUUAAAAAACUAAAUGAUAAACGAUAUCACUUGCUUUUUAGUAUUUCUACCCAUAAUCAAAGGUCAAUAGCCUUUAGAUCCACUGAUACCCAUAUUAAAAUUACUAAUCCUAUCAGAAAUGCCUCAUUCAAAAGUCCCAUUCUCAUUUCUUCCAGUCUAAAGCUAUACAAAAUCAAGACAGAAGGAAAUACUUGAAGAUAAGAGUUUCAUCUCUUAUUGAUACUGUUUGUUAUAUUCUAAGACCAGUAAUUUAUUGCUGAGAUUGAGCUCUUUAUUUAAAUGUGAUGUUAAAGUCAAAGGACUGAAUAAUUUGUACAACACAAGCAUUUCUAAAUAUCUGAUCUACAGUGGAGAAAAGGGACUGAGAAAAAUGGAGGGAAAGAUAAUAGAAAGGAAGAAGUACCACUGAAUACCAAAUAUGAUCUUACUACAGACCUGCCCUAAGAAAUAUUGAGUAUCCUAAACUUCGGGGGGAAAAAAAAUCACAAAAGGUAUUUUUCCUCAGCCUCAAAGCUCUCAAAUAGUCAACAGCAACAGUAAAAGUAAAAUUAGCUAGCAUUAAUAUAGCGCUUUAGAGUUUACUGUCAGUAUCAAGUGCCUACUAUGUGCCAGGCUAAACGCUGGAGACACAAAGGGUGAAAAAAAAAAAAAAAAGCCGUUCCGGCUCUCUAGAAAAUUCUAACAAUCCUGGUAAAGCCUACCAAUAACUUUAUCUCAGUGAGGGGGGAAGUGAGGGGAAAGAGUUUUACAAUAUGUUCUACAAUACAAUGUGCCUACAAAAAUAUAAAAAGAGAGCUAUCUAUUUCAGAUGUGAAAAUUUAAAAUAACACAAGGUACCCAUUUCCUAAGUUCUAGGCUAUAAAAGUCUGGAACUUUGCUUAAGAAAUUAACUUGAAAUAGUUUUGUUUAAAUACAAUUUCAAGCAAAUGAAAUGCAGUAGCACAGACUUAAAUUCCUAGUUACAUCCUUGGAGGUUUUUCCAAUGUAAUCAACUGAGACUGGAAACAACUGAGGGUUAUUUUUUUUUUUUUUCCUGUCAGAAACAAAGUUAUAUGGGGAAGGAGAGGGGGAGGAGACACUAGGGACGGUCCUAAAACCAAACAUGCCCUCAGUUUAAGAUUUUUAAGCCAGCGACAAAAAAGCAACAAAACGAGUCCGGUCACGUGAUAAUCGAGGAACAGGGCGGAUAAAGUUAUUUCUCCAAAGAACUAGGGUCAUGAGACAGGGCGUUCUCUGCCCCCACCCCCACUCCAAACUUCCCGGGAGAACGCUUAAAAUUCUCGUCCCGUCUCACCGAAUUGGAAGAAAACAAACCCCAAACUAACAAGAAAACCCAGUAUUCCAGGGACAUCGAGCCAAGCCAGCAGCAAGGGGGUGACCAGCCCCCAGCCUCACCCCCCCAGGAGAAAAGCGUCAGGCUGUCGGACGUCAGAGGUGAAAGGCACCCUGGGGUCCCCCCUCUGGACACCAAUGAGUGACGACGCCCCACCCCCAAUCCGGCUUUUCCGGGAUUUUGGUCAAUUACAGCUGCACUGCCUAGCUUCAAUGAACUGAAUCAAUCACUGGAUACUUCAGGCUGACGCGGGCAACUUGCUCACCUGUCCGCAGGAAGACGCUUCUUUUAGGGGUUACAACCCGCGCGAGGCACGGCUUCUCUUCACAGUGGGUGGGGAAGAGAGGAAGAAGAGGAUUGGAGAGAAAGAAGAGACACUUAACCAAUCAAAGGUCAUAGAAUAUAUUCCCCUCAGCCAAGGCGAGACGCAAGCAAGAUUGGGAAGCGGGGCAUGCGCAGUGCUAUCUAGACUUUUACUCCUUCCUCUCCGUAGGAGCUCUUUCUGCUUCCUUUUAGUUCUGAGGUCAAUGUUUGGGUUCCCUCCUGUUCCUUCCCGACAGUGUCAUAUCUCUCAGGAAAAGGAAUCUACCUUUUAUUUAACCCAAGAUCCCAGAUAACACUUUUAAGGUAAACGUAAUAAAGUCCACUCCACGACAUGAAAUGUCUUAUUCACCAACAUAAGGGAAGCUCCCUGAGGACAGGGUUUGUCUUGUUUUGUUUUUGUUCUUGAUUUAGUUCCUUAGCCGUGCGAGAUGCUUAAUUAAAUGUUUAUUGGACACCUUGCUAGAAAUCUGGAUUUUAACUAGAUGAAGGAAAAAGAAAGCUUCUUAUAUUUAAAAUUGGUUGGGAAACAUUUUAUCUCAAGCUCAUUCUGUGGAAGGAGAAAAUGUUUAUAAACAUUUCUCAUUAUCUGAUUGAAAAGUCCUACAAAUACAGGCACAAAGUUAGAACUUGAUUUUGGGGGAAAAUAUUUGUUGGAAGCAUCUCAGUAUUGAAUCCUGACUAAGGUCAGGUGUUCUUAACCUUGAGUUCAUGAACUUAGAAAAAAACAUAUAAAUUAAAAUAUAACUAGUUUCUUUUGUAAUCCUACAAAGAAAAGGUUGAAAGUUAGAGAUCAACAAUCGUUUAUUAAUAUGCCAAACCUGGGGAUAUAAAGAAAGGGGGGGAGAGAGGGGUGGGCGAGGGCGGAGAAGACUAGCACUGAAUCUCAAGGAACUCAUAGUCUAAUGGGUACUAUUGGAGGGGAAACGUGGAAGAGGCAGAAGGUUACGGAAUUCAGAGUCCAUGUAGACGGCAUUGGUCAUGGCAAAGAGAAGUUUAAGAAGAAGGUACUUUCAUUCUCAGAGUAGGAGAAGGGAGGAGAGUACGGGAGAUGAUAUCAAGAACUUUUAAGAUGGAAGAAGAGAAGUGGGAACUCAUGGCAAAAAAAAAUGGCAUCAAUUUUAUAAUAAACAAAGUCUCAACUGAAAGAAGGGGCUAAAGGUAUUGGGAUACGGGAACCACCUGCCAGUGGCUGCUGGAGGUCUAACUCAAACCUGUAGAAUGGAUGUCUUCAUGUGAGAGGAUGAUGAUGAUACAAGGAGACUGAGAGGCAGUUGCAUUGUCUGACCUCUCUCCUCUUCCCUCUUGUUUCCAAUUUAUUUCAUUCCCAAUCCACACGGAACAUCUUGUGGCUGCUUUGCAACUCCUUCAAGUUUAUGAUUCACAGCUGUGGAGGCUAUCAGAGAAUUGACUUCCUCCUUCACCUAGGCAUGGUCCUGAAAAUAAGGGAACUGAAAGAAGGGGCUAAGGGAAGUGUGGAAUGCUUAAGAAGACACAGGAAUGUUUGAAAUAGCUUUCUGGAAAAGUGAAAAGGGAAUCAAUUAGGGAGGAAGAAGAUGGUUAUGCUGCAGUCAAGGAACAGUUGAAGUUAGAUUACAUGAAAUUAUAGUAUACUCAGUCAUCAAGGUUGUGGAUUGCUUUUAAUAAUGGACUAUUUUGGGAUCUUCAACUAAAUAUUGUUAUAGGGAACACCCAGAUGAGUAGCACCUGCAGGUCAGCACUAUCACGCUACAUUGUAGCUUCAGAGAAUUGCAUAAAACACCGAGAAAUUAACUGAUUUAUCCAGGAUCACAUCAUAAGUGUGUGUCUGAAGCAGGACUUGAAUCUAAGCGUUCUUGGGUCAAAGCUCUCCACUACAACCAGCUAUUUUUCAGUUUACCCAUGUGUUUUGAAUAUUGCAGUAAUUGAAUUCUUUCAGUUCGUUAAGACAUAGUUUUAUAGUUGAAUAAAAAAAUUGAAUAAAUAAAAAUAAAAAAAUUAUUUUAUUUUGUCAGUUCAGCUCUAAAUAUUUUAGAAAUGACAUUAUAGCCAGCCCUUUGACCACUGUAAACCUCAAUAAAUAUUUAAUAAAACAAAAAAAAAAACAUAAUCCACUGAAUUUGCCACCUCACCCUCUUGAAAAAAAUGUUCUAAUUGAAUAAAAAUUAAGUUGCUUUUAAUAUAGAAA